Molecule: ribosomal RNA, 476 nt
Filed under: uncultured bacterium
Lineage: Bacteria
Description: partial 16S ribosomal RNA
Rfam family: Bacterial small subunit ribosomal RNA
Source: RNAcentral
AUGAACGCUGGCGGCGUGCCUAACCCAUGCCAGUCGAACGAAGCACCUUACCUGAUUCUUCGGAUGAAAGUUUGGUGACUGAGUGGCGGACGGGUGAGUAACGCGUGGGUAACCUGCCCUGUACAGGGGGAUAACAGCUGGAAACGGCUGCUAAUACCGCAUAAGCGCACGAGGAGACAUCUCCUUGUGUGAAAAACUCCGGUGGUACAGGAUGGGCCCGCGUCUGAUUAGCUGGUUGGCAGGGUAACGGCCUACCAAGGCAACGAUCAGUAGCCGGUCUGAGAGGAUGAACGGCCACAUUGGAACUGAGACACGGUCCAAACUCCUACGGGAGGCAGCAGUGGGGAAUAUUGCACAAUGGGGGAAACCCUGAUGCAGCAACGCCGCGUGAGUGAAGAAGUAUUUCGGUAUGUAAAGCUCUAUCAGCAGGGAAGAUAAUGACGGUACCUGACGAAGAAGCUCCGGCUAAAUACGUG